Long non-coding RNA from Rana temporaria (common frog), 504 nucleotides. RefSeq lists it as uncharacterized. Lineage: Eukaryota; Metazoa; Chordata; Amphibia; Anura; Ranidae. The record is from RefSeq and is a predicted model, not a curated record. The transcript has 4 exons.
AUAUGGGAGGUGCCUGCUGAUGACCGAUUACCUGCAGAUUCUAUCCCUCAGUCACUGAAAGCCAGCCACUGGGGCAAGAUGCCAGAGGCAAAAGGUGACAAGUCAGACAAUUCUCUGUACAGGAUUCCCCUACAACACAAGCACCGAGUGCAAGAGAAAAAAACACAUGUUAAGAAGCAAAGAGGACAGCCGACGCGAGCGAAGCAGUAAUUUCCAGGCCUUUAUCCGGAUGGCGCUGGAGACUCUGCUGGGUUCAUGCCGCAGGAAGCGCGGGAUCCGUCAUACGUCCGCAGACCACAUUCAGCCAGCUAAAACUUUAAUGUCUUGGCACAGACAAACGCUUCCUGUCAGGCCUUUCUUGUUGGUACGAUCUUCAAGGGGGCUCUGAGAAUGUGAGCGAAGAUAAACAAGAGUGAGUGAAUGACUGAUCACAAGCUACGUGCACAAGUCUCCUGUUUGUUUGUGAAAUUGCUUGGCUCUUGGAAUAAACAUUAUUUUACAAUG